CUGAAACCCCAAAAUUUUCCCCUCUUCUUCGCGGUUUAUGAGUAUUAAAAUUUUUUCCCCGCUUAUUCACCCUUUUCAAACUCAUUUCUUUCGCCUCUUCUUUCUUUUUCUCGGAUCUUCUUUCUCCCUCUCAGCAAAGAUCUUUGAUUUUUUCCGUCUCCUUUUCGUUCGCUCUCUGAGGCUGGAAACAGGCUCGUCGAACCCCCGUCGUCAGUCGCUGAGCUCAUCCCUUUCCUAGACGUUGAUGAAGAACCUGCAAUUAGAACAAAUACCACCAUAUUAUGAAAUUUUAAUGAAAGUCGUGAAUUUCACAGCCUCUUUGAAUCUUCAGUCCUUUUUCACCUUUGGUUUGGGAAGCAAUAUUUGGGAAGAAAACCUCUCAGAAAGCAUUCUAAUUUUUUUUUUUUUUAGGCUUCUAAAAUUUGUAAGUCUCUUUGUCCUACCCCUUUUCUCUUGUCUUACUAUUAUUUAAUUACAUCUAUUAUAUGGAAGAUUCUUAGAAUUUAUGAAUGGAUGUUACCUCUUCUUUUUUUCUUUAUACAA
Molecule: long non-coding RNA, 543 nt
Organism: Gossypium raimondii (Peruvian cotton)
Lineage: Eukaryota; Viridiplantae; Streptophyta; Magnoliopsida; Malvales; Malvaceae
Exons: 3
Source: RefSeq, a predicted model, not a curated record